AUACAUGCUUGCUAGACUUUGAGCCACACAUUUACUAUUUACUACUUAUGAGCAUUGAGUGUGGUCAAGCUGUGUAGACCCUUAGGAGCUUGUCAUGUGGUUAAAUCAAGAUUCACUUGCACGUUCACUCAUAUAUGCUACUUCUACUCCGGAAGUACCAUCCACAUAUAUUCACCCAUUCCAUCUCCAGAAUCACCCAAAAAUAUUCUACUCCUAAUCCAGGAGAGAAUAGCCAAAAAUAUUUCUGUUUUUCCCUGUGAAAUAAAUGCUCAAGUUAUCUUGUUACUACCACUUGCUACAUUAUCUCAAG
This 310-nucleotide long non-coding RNA is filed under the name Sorghum bicolor (sorghum). Its description in RNAcentral is "long non-coding RNA (SBIC_LNC006711)". Lineage: Eukaryota; Viridiplantae; Streptophyta; Magnoliopsida; Poales; Poaceae. The record is from RNAcentral.